Molecule: long non-coding RNA, 1156 nt
Organism: Acanthopagrus latus (yellowfin seabream)
Lineage: Eukaryota; Metazoa; Chordata; Actinopteri; Spariformes; Sparidae
Exons: 3
Source: RefSeq, a predicted model, not a curated record
CAACAAAACAGGAAGUAAACUGUUGCCAUGGAGACGGCCAGAUAGCUGAGGUCUAGCUUAAAGCUAGCUUAAUUUUGAACCCCAUCUCUGUGUAAAUUUAGGCAUUCUGUCAACAAUAAGAACACGCCGAAUUGACUACGCACAGCUCCGGUUUUCACGGUACCCAUGACUGUGACGAAAACUAUCACUGGGUUAGUUUCAUACUCAAAAUAAUUAAAAGCGUGAUUAUUCUCAGGCGAGUUCAAGAGUAAGAAUCCAGCUAGGUUUUAGCCUGUAAACGUUGAUAUAAUAAUAACAAUCAUGUCGUUUUAAGGCCAAACUGAAUCUAAAAUGUGACUGUCGUGGCCGUGUGUUAAAUUCAACUUGGAGAAUGAGUGUGAAUUGUGCGGCAAAUGCGGCAAUAUGGCGCCAUCAAUGGGUCUGGGGUUUUUAAGUUGGCCGUACCUGAAUUCCCUCCGUGAGCUGUGUUUCACGUCCACCGGUGCUGCUUCACCUGCUGACUGUGUGGAUUCACAUUAGCCAGCUGAUCUGAAGAUGCCUGCGAGGGUGAACAGUGAAAGUGAGUGACGGGACCUGUCACCGAGGCCUCGUCAGUCAGCCCUGCUGGCAGCGGGACAACAGACAGAGCAGGUGCAAAGGAGAGAUAGCUCACAUACCAACAUGCCACGGAGCAGCACAAAGCAGCCUGUUGUCAGAAUCUGGUUCGUCGUUGGAUAAGCCGCUGUCCUCCUGCACCUCCAGCGCUUCGAUUGUUGCCUCCAGAUACAUGAGACACGCUCUCUCCUCUGCAGAUAGGUGCUCCAUACUGUCAUCACUCUGCACACAAAAUCGGAGACUGUGAGAACGUGUGACAGACGUGAAACUCUUCCACUACCUCUGUCCUCCAUUCAACCCUAAACAUGGCCAUGAGAGACAGGACAGGAGCGACAGGUCAAAGUCAUUAAGUGUUCGAACUGCUGCAAAAGAAAUGACUAAUUACACCAAUCCUGUCCUGUUCUGGAUGAUCUUUCAUUCUAUAUUGGCCUGUCAGAAGAAACUGUCUCAGGUGGCUGCAGGUGCCUGUGAACAGCUUGAGAUCCCCUCUGUUCAUCUCUGAAGAAACUCACAAUAAAACCCCCCUUGAAGGCUUCUCUCUGACCAACACGCCUCAAACAGA